Molecule: long non-coding RNA, 348 nt
Filed under: Anas platyrhynchos platyrhynchos (common mallard)
Lineage: Eukaryota; Metazoa; Chordata; Aves; Anseriformes; Anatidae
Description: lncRNA (ENSAPLG00000027647.1)
Source: RNAcentral
GUUUAUCGAAAAGUAGGUGUGCUCGGAUGAGUAAUAUAAACGAUGCCUAAUUUUAUAACGUGUAUAUAACGUGGGGACAAAGUGGCAUUACUUGUACCAUUCAUUGCCACGCUUCAAGAAGAAGCUCAGACUGAAAUUCUAAAGGCAUCCUGGUCUUAGCCAUCAUCUCAGAUUUUACCAGCGCAUUAGAAGUGAGGGGCAGAUUUUCUGUGGCACCCAGAUAUAAGGAGUGUAGACUUCCCUCAACUACAGAACAUAGUGUACAGGUUUUCUGAGAACAAAACAUCCCCAGCUACUGCCGCUGCCAAUUGGUACAGUGGGUGCUUGUAGCACGCAGCGUUUCCAACC